GACGAACGCUGGCGGUGUGCUUAACACAUGCAAGUCGAACGGUAAGGCCCUUUCGGGGGUACACGAGUGGCGAACGGGUGAGUAACACGUGAGUAACCUGCCCUCAUCUCUGGGAUAACAGUCGGAAACGGUUGCUAAUACUGGAUAUGAGCUUGCAAGGCAUCUUGUGGGUUGGAAAGAUUUUUUUUGGUUGGGGAUGGACUCGCGGCCUAUCAGCUUGUUGGUGAGGUAGUGGCUCACCAAGGCUUCGACGGGUAGCCGGCCUGAGAGGGCGACCGGCCACAUUGGGACUGAGAUACGGCCCAAACUCCUACGGGAGGCGGCAGUGGGGAAUAUUGCACAAUGGACGGAAGUCUGAUGCAGCAACGCCGCGUGCGGGAUGACGGCCUUCGGGUUGUAAACCGCUUUCAAUUGUGACGAAGCGUUUUUGUGACGGUAGCAGUAGAAGAAGCACCGGCUAACUACGUG
Molecule: ribosomal RNA, 468 nt
Filed under: uncultured bacterium
Lineage: Bacteria
Description: partial 16S ribosomal RNA
Rfam family: Bacterial small subunit ribosomal RNA
Source: RNAcentral